GGCGACUAGGAAGCGUGUCUUUGAAGGGAAAUGCUUA
RNAcentral lists this small RNA (37 nucleotides) under Arabidopsis thaliana (thale cress). RNAcentral's name for it is "ATSL007570". Lineage: Eukaryota; Viridiplantae; Streptophyta; Magnoliopsida; Brassicales; Brassicaceae. The record is from RNAcentral.